UUCUUAGCAAAAAAUUGGUACAAUCACAAAAGAGAAAAAACAAUAUUCAAACAAAAAUACAAGUAAAACAAGAUUCACUAACGAGAAGAAGAAUUACACUUGAUUCCUCUUCAACAUAGACUAGCUUCAACCCAAACCUCUUUCUGAAUCUCUCUCACUCCUCUCUUGUCUUCUAUAAAUUCAGAAUACUUCUCUCUCAUCCUAUACACCCAUGCACGAUGUAU
RNAcentral lists this long non-coding RNA (224 nucleotides) under Ananas comosus (pineapple). RNAcentral's name for it is "long non-coding RNA (ACOM_LNC001793)". The record is from RNAcentral. Lineage: Eukaryota; Viridiplantae; Streptophyta; Magnoliopsida; Poales; Bromeliaceae.